CCCUUAGAUGUCCUGGGCUGCACGCGCGCUACACUGAUGUGUCCAGUAAGCACCUAACCUCUUCCGAAAGGAACGGGUAACCUUUGCAAAGCACAUCGUGAUGGGGAUAGAUUAUUGCAAUUAUUAGUCUUGAACGAGGAAUUCCUAGUAAGCACAAGUCAUCAGCUUGUGUUGAUUACGUCCCUGCCCUUUGUACACACCGCCCGUCGCUCCUACCGAUUGAAUGUUCCGGUGAGCUCUUCGGACUGCGCGGUCUGCAGUUUCUGCGUUCCGUGCGGAAAGUUGCGCAAACCUUAACAUUUAGAGGAAGGAGAAGUCGUAAC
Molecule: ribosomal RNA, 323 nt
Filed under: uncultured eukaryote
Lineage: Eukaryota
Description: partial 18S ribosomal RNA
Rfam family: Eukaryotic small subunit ribosomal RNA
Source: RNAcentral